GACGAAGGGGGCUAGCGUUGCUCGGAAUCACUGGGCGUAAAGGGUGCGUAGGCGGGGCUUUAAGUCAGGGGGGAAAUCCUGGAGCUCAACUCCAGAACUGCCUUUGAUACUGAGGAUCUUGAGUUCGGGAGAGGUGAGUGGAACUGCGAGUGUAGAGGUGAAAUUCGUAGAUAUUCGCAAGAACACCAGUGGCGAAGGCGGCUCACUGGCCCGAUACUGACGCUGAGGCACGAAAGCGUGGGGAGCAAACAGG
This 253-nucleotide ribosomal RNA is filed under the name uncultured bacterium. RNAcentral describes it as "partial 16S ribosomal RNA". It matches the Rfam family "Bacterial small subunit ribosomal RNA", at positions 524 to 776 of the family's 1533-position model. The record is from RNAcentral.